Molecule: ribosomal RNA, 253 nt
Filed under: uncultured bacterium
Lineage: Bacteria
Description: partial 16S ribosomal RNA
Rfam family: Bacterial small subunit ribosomal RNA
Source: RNAcentral
UACGUAGGUGACCAGCGUUGUCCGGAUUUACUGGGCGUAAGGAGCGCGCAGGCGGUCGUUCAAGUCGAGUGUGAAAGCCCCCGGCUCAACUGGGGAGGGUCAUUCGAUACUGAUCGACUGGAAGGCAGGAGAGGGAAGCGGAAUUCCCGGUGUAGUGGUGAAAUGCGUAGAUAUCGGGAGGAACACCAGUGGCGAAGGCGGCUUCCUGGCCUGUUCUUGACGCUGAGGCGCGAAAGCUAGGGGAGCAAACGGG